CUUUUUUUGGUCUUUAAAAGGUGGACAUGAGUAGCACUGAGUAGAGGAAACAGUCUUACUCUUGUGCAGUUUGAGGAUAGUGUAGGACAUGGUGGGCAGCACUCGUUCUCCCUCCAAGAUGUAGAUGUCCCAGAUCCUGAGCGUCAGGGUAAAGGGAGUCUUGACACAAACGGAACAAAAGGUGUUGUUUCAGUUUGGGCAUCAUCUUCUUGAGGAUGCGGUCGUGGUGAUCCUGGAAACGUAUCAGCUUUGGGAACCCGGGGAUAAAAAACCCUAAAGCAACAACUGCAUCUCAAGAGAUCCAUCUGUUAUCAUACUGUGUCUGCUGUGGAAUCCUUUAGGUUUCUGGGGUCCACAAUCUCCCAGUACCUUAAGUAAAGGUCCAACAUCGAUACCAACAGGAAAAAGGCCCAUCAGAAGAUGUACUUCCUGCGCCAUCAUAGGAAGUUAAACCUGCCUCAAGAGCUGCUAAUCCAACUUUCCACAGCAAUUAUUCAGUCUGUUCUCGUCACACCUUAAACAUAACUGAAAAAAAAACCCGUCUUCCCUCUGGCUACAAAAAACACUUUACGUCUAAACAGACACAAAAACAGUUUCUUUUCACAGGCUGUCACUAUUAUUAACACUAACACAUAGUGCCAUGAAAAAAGUAAUAGUUUAGCAUGUCGAAAAAAUAAGUAAAAGUCAUAGGAUUGUAGAUAAUGUGACAUACAUAAUUCACCUUUGUUGUUAAGUGUUGUUCUACACACCGAUGAUUAUAAACACAGUACUUAGUGUUCUUAGCGUGGUACUUCAUUUAAGUAUGACUGUGCAGGGAUCGCGGUCCCUUUAAGUGUUCUGAAUGUGUGAUGACGUUGGACCAAUGUGGGUGUUGUUUCCUAUUGAAAAUAAAUCACACGCACGUUUGUGGGCUCAAAGUGAGAAAUUGUCUCUUGCACUUUCUACAGAAUAGUAUUUAAAAAAAAGUCACAGUAUAGCAUGUCGGAAAAAAAAACAUAGUAUAGCAUGACGAAAAAAGUCAUAAAGUCAUAGUAUAGCAUGCCCUCCGUUCAUGACUUCUACUCUUCCAGAGUCAGGACACGGGCAGGAACCAUCACUGCUGACCCAUCUCACCCCGGACACAACCUGUUCCAGCUCCUCCCCUCUGGGGGGGGCGCUACAGAGCCCUGUACGCCAAAACCAACAGACUCAGGAACAGUUUCUACCCACAAGCCAUCUCUCUGAUGAACAGCUGACU
Etheostoma spectabile (orangethroat darter) is the source of this 1237-nucleotide long non-coding RNA. RefSeq lists it as uncharacterized. The transcript is spliced from 3 exons. The record is from RefSeq and is a predicted model, not a curated record. NCBI's taxonomy places the organism in Eukaryota, Metazoa, Chordata, Actinopteri, Perciformes, Percidae.